CAAUGGGGGAACCCUGAUGCAGCGACGCCGCGUGGAGGAAGAAGGUCUUCGGAUUGUAAACUCCUGUUGUUGAGGAAGAUAAUGACGGUACUCAACAAGGAAGUGACGGCUAACUACGUGCCAGCAGCCGCGGUAAAACGUAGGUCACAAGCGUUGUCCGGAAUUACUGGGUGUAAAGGGAGCGCAGGCGGGAGAACAAGUUGGAAGUGAAAUCCAUGGGCUCAACCCAUGAACUGCUUUCAAAACUGUUUUUCUUGAGUAGUGCAGAGGUAGGCGGAAUUCCCGGUGUAGCGGUGGAAUGCGUAGAUAUCGGGAGGAACACCAGUGGCGAAGGCGGCCUACUGGGCACCAACUGACGCUGAGGCUCGAAAGUGUGGGUAGCAAACAGGAUUAGAUACCCUGGUAGUCCAAGGGCGAAUUC
Molecule: ribosomal RNA, 421 nt
Filed under: uncultured bacterium
Lineage: Bacteria
Description: SSU rRNA
Rfam family: Bacterial small subunit ribosomal RNA
Source: RNAcentral